UACGUAGGGUGCAAGCGUUGUCCGGAAUUAUUGGGCGUAAAGAGCUUGUAGGCGGUUUGUCGCGUCUGCUGUGAAAUUUCGGGGCUCAACCCCGAACUUGCAGUGGGUACGGGCAGACUAGAGUGUGGUAGGGGAGACUGGAAUUCCUGGUGUAGCGGUGAAAUGCGCAGAUAUCAGGAGGAACACCAAUGGCGAAGGCAGGUCUCUGGGCCACUACUGACGCUGAGAAGCGAAAGCAUGGGGAGCGAACAGG
RNAcentral lists this ribosomal RNA (253 nucleotides) under uncultured bacterium. RNAcentral describes it as "partial 16S ribosomal RNA". It matches the Rfam family "Bacterial small subunit ribosomal RNA", at positions 524 to 776 of the family's 1533-position model. The record is from RNAcentral.